AGUGCCGGUGGGCUGCGAGCGUCAAUAGUGCUGCAACGGAGCUUCACCGGCGCAUUGCCGGGGUCAUGAGGAUGCAGAGGAACUCCGGUGCUGCAAUGGAGCUUCAACGGUGCCGGCGGUGAUGCAUUGCAACUUUGUCUCACCGUCGGGGGUUUCAAUGGAGCUCACCGUGGGGUUGUUGUUAGGGGCUGUACUCGAUAUUGCCACCCGGAUAGCACCCGACAACGCCGGUGGUGCGUCAGAUCAGACGUCAACUGCGCCAGAUCGAACGGUUGGCUGGGCGGAAGAUCUCCAGGAGAAAUCAUCCGCCUGGUCCGUAGCAGUCGUCUUUCUGGAAAACAUUUAUUUAAGUCUGAUGAAAACAGGCAAGCAUAAGCCGCCUUCCUCGCACAACACGUGUCAUAUGGACCCACCGAUCGCUCCUCACAUC
This 430-nucleotide long non-coding RNA is filed under the name Hordeum vulgare. RNAcentral's name for it is "long non-coding RNA (HVUL_LNC016572)". The record is from RNAcentral. Lineage: Eukaryota; Viridiplantae; Streptophyta; Magnoliopsida; Poales; Poaceae.